This is a long non-coding RNA of Bos taurus (domestic cattle), 2310 nucleotides long. NCBI's taxonomy places the organism in Eukaryota, Metazoa, Chordata, Mammalia, Artiodactyla, Bovidae. The record is from Ensembl.
AAACGGGGUGUGACCUCUCCUGUGUUUUAUCGAGUCAAAGUCCUGAGCUAAAGGAACACACUGCAGUUGUGUAAUUGCCGUCCUGGGUUCUCCAGGGGGUGGAGCGCCUGUUGAGUCAGCAGGCGGAUGGCAGGGCCCUGCCUGGAGCGCAGGCCCCUCACUCCAAGCUCCAGUCCUCCUCCACUCCACGGUGGAGGGAGCGCAUGUCUUGCUGCCUCCACCGUGUUGCCUUGCUCCGGGAAGAUGCUGAUUCCUGCUCAACACAGGCCUUUGACUCUUGGAAAUUCACGGGAGAUUCCAGAGAGCGCCCGGUUCUGUGCUAACUGCUGAGGUACGGUUCUAGCAGAGGUAGUUGUGAAGGGGAGUGGUCCUGAAUAGCCUGAUGGUCUGAGGACCAUCACCUACCCUAUGGACAUGAAUUUGGACAAACUCCGGGAGACAGUGAAGGACAAGGAAGCCUGGUGUGCUGCAGUCCACGGGGUCACAAAGAGUCACAUACAACUUAGUGACUGAAUGACAACAACACAAAACUGAGGACUGGGAUAUCAGCGGAGGAUGUUCUCAUGGAAAAGAAAAGUCCAGCCCCUUCCAGAAAGUUCUGCCUGGCUCAGCAAAUUGUCCUGUUACCUUAUUGGCACUGCCUCUGUAUUUCUUUUCCAUUUCAGACCAGGAAGGACACAUGGGCAGUCUUCAUGCAUGGGUUUUUAUCAGAAUGAUCUAACCUUCAGGAAAGGCCAAGAAACUCUACUCCUGCCUUUGCGCUCUCAACCUGCUUCCAGGAAUUUAUCCCAAAGAAGUACUUCCAAAGACGGUUUAAAAGUCUUGCUUUAAUAAAGGUUGAUUGUAUAUAUAAUAGCAGGUAGAGCUACACAGGCACCAAAUGACAGCUGGACGAACAAACUCUGGCCCAUCCGCUGGAAGGAAUACGACGAGAAGCUCACAAAUGACAAAUGUAAAUCUCGUCCAGCCAUAGGAAAGUGUACAUGAGGGAACAUCAGGGAAAAUGCUUGAAAUUCAAACUGUAUACGUCUGUCAAGUGUUUUUUUUUUUAAACCUCCUCACUGUGCUCUAGAAAGGCCACCUCCUGGAUUUGACACUGCCCAGUGUGCUAGUUUCUUUUUUAAUAUUUAUUUUAUUUUUAAAACGUAUUUGGCUGCACCAGGUCUUCACUGCAAUAUUCUUCUCUUUUAAUUGUGGCAUGCAAAGUCUUAGCUGUGGCAUGGGGGGUCUAGUUCCCUGACCAGGGAUAGAACUCAGGUCCCCUUUACUGGGAGCUUGGAGUUAUAGCCACGGGAGCACCAGGGAAGUCCCUAGUUUCUUCUUGUUAAUGACUGAAUUCAGAGAGACAUUUCCCCAUGUGAACUGGGCCUCACAGCAAGGGUUAUCUUCCAGGAUGAAUAAAAAACAGCCACUUCCAAUCUCAAUGUACACUUGGCUCUCUGAAUCUGCAAGUUCCCCAUCCUCGGAUAUGGAGGUGACUGGAGGCCUGUAGAUGAAAACUGGAAGAGCUGAAGAAAGAUUUUUUAAGAAUUGAAAUAAAGCCUGUCUUCUUUUUUAUGGGUAUUUGUGUCCUUAGAAAAGACCCUGAUGCUGGGAAAGAUUGAAGACAGGAGGAAAAGGGGAUGACAGAGGAUGAGAUGGUUGAAAGGCAUCACCGACUCGAUGGACAUGAGUUUGUGCACGCUCCGGGAGUUGCUGAUGGACAGGGAAGCCUCACAUGCUGCAGUCCGUGGGAUGGCAAAGAACUGGACAUGACUGAGAGACUGAACUGAACUGUGUCCUUGGAUAAUGGAUUGACAGAUAAAAUAAUCCCUGUGAAAAUGUUUUCUGACUUUUAAGUAUGUUUCAAUAUAAAAUUUUGAUUCCCUUUCUUGAAAAAGUAAAACAUCAUUUAAUAACUGCUAACUGCUCGAUCCUGCAUUAGGUGGCUGGUAUAGAAAUUGAGCGUUUGCUAUCUGGGAGUCAGAAGAGUGGGGACGGAAUCUUGACCUGGUCUUUCCCUUCUCAGAUUACUCUGGGAGUUGGGAUGCAAAGAAGGAGUAGCACGUGCUCACAUGCAAAGGAUGGGAGAUCACUUUCUCAGAUCAGACAGGGCUUCCCUGGUGGCUCUGCGGCGAAGAAUCCACCGACCAAGGCAGGAGACGCGAGCUCAGUCGCUGAGCUGGGAAGAUCCCACAUGCCCGGAGCAACUAACCUGUGCGCCACGGCUAUGGAGCCCACGUGCUGCCAAGACAGACGCGCAUGUGCCCUGUGGGCUCCACGAGAGCAACCCUGUCAGCGAGAAGCGCGCGCCACAGUCGGAGCAGCCCC